GCUAAGGCUCUCUUACGGCACUCUCCCUCGUUAGGCACAUUUGUACCUGUUUUCUCAACUAUACUCCAAACAUAUCUCAAUAGAGUAACUUUAUACGUUAUUUCUGCCAGAUGCCUUAUUAGUUGUAAGUGUGUAUCUAAAACACGGAAUUCAUUCACGAGAAAACUUGGUCAACUCCAACACUCCGAUCUGGUUGACUGUUUUUUUUUUCAACGAACCCUGAAGUGGCUUUAUUUUCAUUUAGAAUAUACUUACCUAAAAAAGAAAUAUACCAGUUUAUAAAAAAAUUAUAAUAUUAGUUUUCCUUGAUCAAUUCAAAAAGAGUGCAGUGUAUGAAGGUCUCGUAAAGUGCAUUUUCUAUAAAAAGUGUCUAUCAGUCUAACAAUGCACAGAUGGUAAGGCCCGAUCUUCAGCCCGAUUGUUCAGCUCACAUAUUAUCUUGUAAAUUAGCAGCAUUCAUAAAGAUUCGGUCAUUAUUUACUACUAAGUGAGAUCUGGGUGACAAGCGGAUGCAAAGCUGGUUUUUGUUCAGAAGAGCUCUAAUCUGUUGAGAAAUGUUACACCUCUGCAGCACAGAUUAACUAGUAUAGAAACGUUCAUGCUUAAAAGUUAAUGCUACAUGAGUUUUUUGAAGAGUACUUAAACCGAUCAAUCCAUUCCUAUACGUUGACUUCAAAUCAAUCUCCAGUGCAGAUUAGCACGGUACACUCGAAUUAGCAAAACAUCAGAAAGUCACCUUGUUAGUGUAAAAAAAACUGCUUUGUGUGGUACGUCCAGAUGCACAACUUGGGCUGCUUUGAUUUGAAAGUGCUCAAAAUUAUGGCUCGCUGAACUUCUCUAAACCCCCCUAACUACGCUAAUGUGUUUUUUUUUUGGAAAUAUGACUUUCAUAUAAAUCCAAACGAUGAAUCUAUUGACAAAGGAAUUAGCACAACUAAAACUAUGCGCCAAUUUCGUACGAAUUGAUCAACAUCGUUUUUUUUCUAAAUUAUCUAUGGCAGUAGCAGGCUGCGAACUAACUAAAACUUCCCGUUGUAAUAUUAGGCUGUUACAAGCGAAGCCCGUUGACUUUGCAAAUUAAUGACUAGUUCGCUUAGAAUGAUGACUUUCAUAUGUUUUCCUUUAUAUUUUAGGCGUUUGUCCCUGCGCUCUGACAACUUCUGGACAGCCAUAUACAUAUUAUUCGCAUUUCCACACGUAGUUUUUUUUACCUAUAAUAAGCAGAUUGAUAGUUCUGGUUUAGAUAGUAGCACCAAGUGCCUUUCUUAGAGCGUGGAGAAUCGAUGGGGUCUGAAGUUGAAACUGCAUGUUUUCAAGUGCCGUGGCAGUCACGGAUCUGUUGAGGAAGACGAGUUAGCGAGCUGCAUUCACUGUUCCAUUUUCGGCGUGUACCUCGUGCUAGUCGAUGUCCCUGAUGCUCAUAUUAUCAUUCUACGUCCGAAUCUACUUGACACUGCCACCAAACUUGGUUUCUUUCCAGGGCGACGCCAUCUCUCGCCCGACGGCCUACGGCAACCGUAUGCUUCAGGCAGUUUUUGCUUCUUAAGGUUCCACCAAUUGUACGUGGAGUACACCAUCCCCAUUUCCAAUUGCCAUGAGACAAUUCAUUUAUUUACAAUGUUUUACGUAUCGUUAGUAUUUGGGUUAUAUCUGUAAUGCUGUAACAUGUUACAUGAGAGAUGCUAGUUGGCCGACAAAGCCCUUACACUCUAAUUUCUGCUUUCUGAAAAGUCUUUCGGAUUGCGUAAAUGUGUUCUUUCGUUCAGGUCUCGCUCGCCUUUCACCCUAAUCUCGUCCAUUCUAACACUGUAAUUUCCGAUCUUGGAACGUUUGCACCGCUUGUGUACUGUGCUUUCGCUCAAGGCCUCCUUGCCUAACGUCGUCACCAAUUUCCUAUGAGUUUCCGUAGCGCUGUGGCCCUGAGAUAUGAAGGCUUGACCAAUCAACAUUGACUUUAGGGACUAGAAGAAAUUUUUCCGAACUCAUUUCUUUUGACCGGUUUUCACCCCAUAAGUUUCCAAAAUACUGCAAAAGCGUUAACCACCUAAAUGUCGUCUGCUAGUGACGCGUACUUAAAAAGUUAUUCAAUUUCAAAGUACGCUAAAUUCGCUUAUAACAGACUAAUGCUUUCCGUUGUUUUAUCGCAAAACAGGUAACCGUCGAUAAGUGGCCUUAAAUCAGCGAGCAUCGAGUUCUUUAGCCAGAACCGCACGACGUCAAGAGUGUGGUGAACCUCAGCUUCAGCAGCUCUUAACUAUGUUUACUGAUUAUUGCUGCGACUGCCUCUGCAAGACCCACCCUUCAGUGAGGUCUCAUUGAAUGGUAAUUGGCUUAAACGCACGAAUUUAUCAUAACCUCAGCACACUUCGCUUUUUUAUUUGCUCACUAAAGUUUAGAAUUAUAAUUUCAAGGUUGAUAAUUAAUCAUUAACGACCACUACAAGCAAUCUCGUCCUGUCCCAGAACCUUCUUUCUUUCUUUCUUUCUUUCUUUCUUUCUUUCUUUGAUUUUCAUUCCAGUUAGCUAGUGCAUAUCGGCAGCUUACAUACUGGGCAAUUAUGACAUUGAUAUUAAUAAUCCCAAAGAUAAUUAGUUGAAUCUAUAGUUCCAUACGGUGUGAUCUUUGUAAUACUACCCUUUCUUCUGUACCUCCUUGUCUGUUCGAUUGUUCAUGAUUCCUCUAUUUGGUUGUGUUCCCGAAAGUUUCGACCGACCGUGUUUCGGUCAUUUCUCUUUGUUUUCAUCAUGAUUGACUAAUGAUCGUUUGCUUUAUCAUCACCAUCAUCGUCCUCUAACGUUAUAUUUUAUUAAUAAAUACAUUAUUACAUAUUAUAGUUAUCUCGCAUAUACACACGCACGCACACACAUGCACGUCCGCACGCAGGCAGGCAGAUACUGACAGUCACGCGAUUUCGGCUUUACGUCGUCUUAUCGUAAAUCGUCGCCUGAUUCAGUCGUGAGAACAUUGCAAUUGAUCAUUGAUUUGAGUAAAGUCUGUAGUUGCUGACUUGUGGCUUGUAAAAAAUUAUCCCUAUACAAUUUUGUCUGUCCUAUAGAAUACGAAGGCAUUUGUUCUUAAUCAUCUGAGAAAGCGUUAACGAAGCGGUGGCAAGUUAGACAGCAGCUCUGGCUGAAAUAUUUCUCAAUUGGCCGUCACACAAAUCAUAAUAGUAGUACUUGCGAUAUUUUCGAUAUGGUGCGCGUACCCUGCAGGCUUGCAUGUCACAACAUGCCUGAUGCUGUUAAUUGGCCCUACUGUUUGGCUUACUUUGCAGCUCUGACCUUAUCUGUAUCAUGAGGAAACGUGCGCUGUCAGUCCAUCUCAUCGCUCAAUUAGUAAUAAACAAGCUGUUCGUGCUAUCAAUAUAAGCAUUUCCUCAAGCACACGUACGAGCACAUUAUUUCAAGCGAGAUGUUUAAACAUUUAGUUUGAAAUAUUAAUAUAACGAUUGAAUCGCUAUACGAUACCGUUAUUCACACAGCAGAGGACAGAUUCGAUUACAAAGACCGAAUAUAUAUAUGUUAUCCCACACUCAAUUUUUGCCCAACAAUAAGUCAAACAAAAUACUUGUGAAAGUUUAACGUGCUCCUUGCAAUACAGGCCUCUGUAGCAGUUCACCUAAUAAAGUUUUUGAUGGUUGUAAUUUUUACCUCGGAUACACAUUAUCUGGCCGACUUUCAGUCAGUCAGUCAGUCAGUCCAAAUACUUGAUAACGUGUUUGUGUAUAUACUAUUCGUAUCGGCUUGAUCGUCUAGCUCCUUGCCGACGGUUCCCGCAUGCUUUUAUCGUCUUGCUUCGACCGUAUGUAACCCAAAAUCCACAACACAUGCUCGGGUCUGCAUUAUACUUUUUUGCUGAUCGAUAAACGCAAUUUUCGUGUCAUCUCUUUAGUUUACAUCAAUCAAUCAACUAAGCACAAUCGC
This is a long non-coding RNA of Varroa destructor (honeybee mite), 3923 nucleotides long. NCBI's taxonomy places the organism in Eukaryota, Metazoa, Arthropoda, Arachnida, Mesostigmata, Varroidae. The record is from RefSeq and is a predicted model, not a curated record.